CUUGAGUCCUGGAUGAACACGUUUUGGGUGGGAAUCGGUUAUUUGAAAGAAUUGUGGUUACAGCAUAAUCUGAUGUUUUGGGGUCUGCAAGUUUGCUGGCCACAGCCCUCGGUGGCAACCUUACUGACGUCAUUGACUGGAUGCUGUUGAAGUUGAUCCAUCAUUUCUUUACUGACAUAAGCAAGACCAACAGACAACCUGGGACAUUUCAGCGUGGAAAAAUGAAAAAUAAGUAAUCAGCGGCAGCAUUACACUGCCAAAUCAUCACUAACAAGCGUCCAUACGAAUGCUACAAAUACAGGGGGUUUUGUAAUGCAGAACUGCCAGAAAAGCAGUUGUAUUAAGCACAGUGUGACCAGCGCCUCAAUCCUUCAAAGCUUUCCCUGUUUAAAUUCCCUAAAAUGUACACAAUUAUCUCUCUUUCUGCCUAUAUUGUACCUAUCACACUAUAUUAGUUGCUUAAAUAAUCAUUUUUUUUUGUCAGACACUGCCAGGCACACUCCUUCCAGGUCAGAAGCUGAACGCAGUAUCAUACUUCUUCUCGAUCAGCAUAUGAAUCUUACUUCCUAUUGCCCCCUUAUUAGCUGAUAAGGCUGUCUUUAAGGCUCUGAGUCAAUCAGGGCAAGCCCUCCACCACACUUUCUCCCAAUGUCAUGUGAUCCUUCUUUCUCCCUUGUAGUUUUCCCCACCAAUAUUAACAGUAAAAUGGUGCUAGGUGCUAUUUUUACGCCAUUCAUUUGAAAAGAAGCGCAAAAGCUUUGGAUUUGUUUGGCAGAUGAAAAUGUGUUUAGAAUCGAUUCCCCCAUCUCUUGUUUACAUCUAAAGCACACAUAGACUACCAUAUUUUUCGCCCCAUAAGAUGCAUUUUUCCCCCCCAAAAGUGGGGGAAAAGGCCC
Bufo gargarizans (Asiatic toad) is the source of this 896-nucleotide long non-coding RNA. RefSeq lists it as uncharacterized. Lineage: Eukaryota; Metazoa; Chordata; Amphibia; Anura; Bufonidae. The record is from RefSeq and is a predicted model, not a curated record. The transcript is spliced from 4 exons.